RNAcentral lists this ribosomal RNA (513 nucleotides) under uncultured bacterium. Its description in RNAcentral is "partial 16S ribosomal RNA". It matches the Rfam family "Bacterial small subunit ribosomal RNA", at positions 28 to 523 of the family's 1533-position model. The record is from RNAcentral.
GACGAACGCUGGCGGCAUGCCUAAUACAUGCAAGUCGAGCGAACAGAUGAAGUGCUUGCACUUCUGACGUUAGCGGCGAACGGGUGAGUAACACGUAAGGAAUCUACCUAUAAGCGGGGGAUAGCAUUCGGAAACGGGUGCUAAUACCGCAUAAUAUCUUCUUCCGCAUGGAAGAAGAUUGAAAGACGGCUCUGCUGUCACUUAUAGAUGACCUUGCGGUGCAUUAGUUAGUCGGUGGGGUAAUGGCCUACCAAGACGAUGAUGCAUAGCCGACAUGGGAGGGUGAUCGGCCACAUUGGGACUGAGACACGGCCCAAACUCCUACGGGAGGCAGCAGUAGGGAAUCUUCCGCAAUGGGCGAAAGCCUGACGGAGCAAUGCCGCGUGAGUGAAGAAGGCCUUCGGGUCGUAAAACUCUGUUAUAAGAGAAGAACAAAUUGUAGAGUAACUGCUACAGUCUUGACGGUAUCUUAUCAGAAAGCCACGGCUAACUACGUGCCAGCAGCCGCCGUAA